GUGUUCACUUCAGCACCAUAUAUACUAAAAUUGGAAUAAUACAGAAGAUUAGCUUGGCCCCUAUGCAAGGAUGACAUUACAAAUUUGUGAAGCAUUCCAUAUUUAA
Small nuclear RNA from Suncus etruscus (white-toothed pygmy shrew), 106 nucleotides. NCBI's taxonomy places the organism in Eukaryota, Metazoa, Chordata, Mammalia, Eulipotyphla, Soricidae. The record is from RefSeq and is a predicted model, not a curated record.